GGCUCAGAACGAACGCUGGCGGCGUGCCUAACACAUGCAAGUUGAACGGGGUACAUUGUUGUAGCAAUACAGUGGUGUACUUAGUGGCGGACGGGUGAGUAACACGUAGGUAACCUACCCUCAAGCGGGGGACAACCCGGGGAAACCCGGGCUAAUACCGCAUAAGACCACGGACUGGGAUGUUUGUGGUAAAAGUAGCAAUACACUUGGGGAUGGGCCUGCGGCCUAUCAGGUAGUUGGUGAGGUAACGGCCCACCAAGCCUAAGACGGGUAGCCGGGCUGAGAGGUUGGACGGCCACACUGGAACUGAGACACGGUCCAGACUCCUACGGGAGGCAGCAGUGGGGAAUUUUGCACAAUGGGCGAAAGCCUGAUGCAGCGACGCCGCGUGGAGGAUGAAGGCCUUCGGGUUGUAAACUCCUUUUGUAGGGGAAGAUAAUGACGGUACCCUGCGAAUAAGCCACGGCUAACUCUGUGCCAGCAGCCGCGGUAAGACAGAGGUGGCGAGCGUUGUUCGGAAUCACUGGGCUUAAAGGGCGCGUAGGUGGUAGUGCAAGUCUGGGGUGGAAUCUUAGGGCUUAACCCUAAAAUUGCCUUGGAAACUGUAUUACUUGAGUCAGUGAGGGGAAGGUAGAAUUCCCGGUGUAGCGGUGAAAUGCGUAGAUAUCGGGAGGAAGGCCUGUGGCGAAGGCGGCCUUCUGGCGCUGAACUGACACUGAGGCGCGAAAGCGUGGGUAGCAAACAGGAUUAGAUACCCUGGUAGUCCACGCCCUAAACGGUGGGUACUAGGUGUAGGGCUCGUAAGGGUUCUGUGCCGAAGCGAAAGCAUUAAGUACCCCGCCUGGGGAGUACGGCCGCAAGGUUGAAACUCAAAG
RNAcentral lists this ribosomal RNA (875 nucleotides) under uncultured bacterium. RNAcentral's name for it is "bacterial SSU rRNA". It matches the Rfam family "Bacterial small subunit ribosomal RNA", at positions 21 to 906 of the family's 1533-position model. The record is from RNAcentral.